AGCAGCCGCGGUAAUUCCAGCUCCAAUAGCGUAUAUUAAAGUUGUUGCAGUUAAAAAGCUCGUAGUUGAAUUUCGGGGUUAGCAGGUCGGUCGUGCCAUUGGUAUGAACUGGUCUCGCUGAUCCCUCCCUCUUGACGAACUGUGAUGCCAUUAAUUUGGUGUCGCAGGGAAUCAGGACUGUUACUUUGAAAAAAUUAGAGUGUUUAAAGCAGGCUUUCGCUUGAAUACAUUAGCAUGGAAUAAUGAAAUAGGACGUUUGAUCUUAUUUUGUUGGUUUCUAGGAUUGACGUAAUGAUUAAUAGGGAUAGUUGGGGGCAUUAGUAUUCAAUUGUCAGGGGUGAAAUUCUUGGAUUUAUUGAAGACUAACUACUGCGAAAGCAUUUGCCAAGGAUGUUUUCAUUAAUCAAGAACGAAAGUUAGGGGAUCGAAGACGAUCAGAUACCGUCGUAGUCUUAACCAUAAAUUAUGCCGACUAGGGAUCGGAUGAUGUUAAUUUUUUAAUGACUCAUUCGGCGCCUUACG
This 522-nucleotide ribosomal RNA is filed under the name uncultured Glomeromycotina. Its description in RNAcentral is "SSU rRNA". It matches the Rfam family "Eukaryotic small subunit ribosomal RNA", at positions 569 to 1092 of the family's 1831-position model. The record is from RNAcentral. Lineage: Eukaryota; Fungi; Glomeromycota.